Molecule: ribosomal RNA, 305 nt
Filed under: uncultured bacterium
Lineage: Bacteria
Description: bacterial SSU rRNA
Rfam family: Bacterial small subunit ribosomal RNA
Source: RNAcentral
GGCUACCUACGGGAGGCAGCAGUGAGGAAUAUUGGUCAAUGGACGAGAGUCUGAACCAGCCACGUAGCGUGAAGGAUGACUGCCCUAUGGGUUGUAAACUUCUUUUAUAUGGGAAUAAAAUGUUCCACGUGUGGGAUUUUGUAUGUACCAUAUGAAUAAGGAUCGGCUAACUCCGUGCCAGCAGCCGUGGUAAUACGGAGGAUCCGAGCGUUAUCCGGAUUUAUUGGGUUUAAAGGGAGCGUAGAUGGGUUGUUAAGUCAGUUGUGAAAGUUUGCGGCUCAACCGUAAAAUUGCAAUUGAUACUG